UUUUGCCUGUCUCCUGUAGAAGUCAAUUCUCCUGUAGAAUUCAAUUGACAUAAGUCAAGCAAUUAAUGCUCCCUGGAGUAAAAUGGACUGGGCUCUGAAUUUCCUUGACACAAACUCAUACGACCUAAGUUUUGGAGGAACUUGUGCAGAAUUGC
Long non-coding RNA from Nothoprocta perdicaria, 155 nucleotides. RefSeq lists it as uncharacterized. The record is from RefSeq and is a predicted model, not a curated record. The transcript has 2 exons. NCBI's taxonomy places the organism in Eukaryota, Metazoa, Chordata, Aves, Tinamiformes, Tinamidae.